CGAACGCUGGCGGCGCGCCUAAUACAUGCAAGUCGAGCGAGAAGACGUAGCAAUACGUUUGUAAAGCGGCGAACGGGUGAGGAACACAUGGGUAACCUACCCUAGAGUGGGGAAUAACUAGCCGAAAGGUUAGCUAAUACCGCGUACGCUCCUUGGACUUCGGUACAGGGAGGAAAGCGAUACCGUGGGUAUCGCGCUCUUGGAUGGGCUCAUGUCCUAUCAGCUUGUUGGUGAGGUAACGGCUCACCAAGGCUUCGACGGGUAGCUGGUCUGAGAGGACGAUCAGCCACACUGGCACUGCGACACGGGCCAGACUCCUACGGGAGGCAGCAGUAAGGAAUAUUGCGCAAUGGGCGAAAGCCUGACGCAGCGACGCCGCGUGGGGGAUGAAGGUCUUCGGAUUGUAAACCCCUUUCGGGAGGGAAGAUGGAACGAGCAAUCGUUCGGACGGUACCUCCA
RNAcentral lists this ribosomal RNA (459 nucleotides) under uncultured bacterium. RNAcentral's name for it is "bacterial SSU rRNA". It matches the Rfam family "Bacterial small subunit ribosomal RNA", at positions 30 to 483 of the family's 1533-position model. The record is from RNAcentral.